This 429-nucleotide ribosomal RNA is filed under the name Bacteroidota bacterium. Its description in RNAcentral is "Bacteroidetes bacterium partial 16S ribosomal RNA". It matches the Rfam family "Bacterial small subunit ribosomal RNA", at positions 355 to 776 of the family's 1533-position model. The record is from RNAcentral. Lineage: Bacteria; Pseudomonadati; Bacteroidota.
UAGGGAAUCUUCGGCAAUGGGGGGAACCCUGACCGAGCAACGCCGCGUGAGUGAAGAAGGUUUUCGGAUCGUAAAGCUCUGUUGUUAAGGAAGAACGAGUGUGAGAAUGGAAAGUUCAUGCUGUGACGGUACUUAACCAGAAAGGGACGGCUAACUACGUGCCAGCAGCCGCGGUAAUACGUAGGUCCCGAGCGUUGUCCGGAUUUAUUGGGCGUAAAGCGAGCGCAGGCGGUUAGAAAAGUCUGAAGUGAAAGGCAGUGGCUCAACCAUUGUAGGCUUUGGAAACUGUUUAACUUGAGUGCAGAAGGGGAGAGUGGAAUUCCAUGUGGAGCGGUGAAAUGCGUAGAUAUAUGGAGGAACACCGGUGGCGAAAGCGGCUCUCUGGUCUGUAACUGACGCUGGGGCUAGAGAGCGUGGGGAGCGAACAGG